UCCGGAUCACGUCUCUCCCCCCACACUCGAGAAAAUUAGCCGCCACCGCUCCCCUCCUCGUUGGCCGCAGUUUUGGUCAUGGACGCGCCGCCCACCCUGCACCCUCCGCUGCACGAUGAAUCUCGUCGCCCUCGAAAUAUCGCCGCCGCCACUCUCCUCGUUCGCCUCGUGGUCGUCAUGGCCAAGGUCCUGGUCGUGGACGGCGCCGCCCGCCCCGCCUUGCCCGUGCGAACGCGUUAGUCAUCUCGCCGGCGACCUCCCCGCGGCGCUGCGCCUUCCUCCAACCUCUCUCUUCCCCCGCCUGCCUUGGUUCGCCGGGCGUCGCACGAGCACGUCCCCUGUCCGGCCUCCCCGACUGCACCUCAUCUCCGUGCAUGCCACAGCGCCUCCAUGGUCGCCGGCGAUCAAGCUUGCCUGCCUCUGACGUCCGCCGCCUGAGGCCUGACCUCCCAACGCCGCCGAUCGCAUACUACAGCCACCGGUCGGCAACAUCUUGACUAGCCAAGUUAAACCGUCGGCCGCCUCUUUCUGCCAGCCACGGGGUUUACAAGCACUGCUCCCCUUCCCUGGCAACGUCCUGCCUCCAGGCUCUGCACAAUGAAUCACGCCGCCCCCGUGUUGGUCCUCGACCCGCCGCCGAUGUACGUUGCUGCCCCGCUCUUCAAAUCCACGGGCCAAGUGGCUCCAAUCUGUCACCGCCCUCCACCAGCGCCCUAAAGCUAAGUCCUGCAACGACAUCAUCCUCCACGGCUCUAGACUCGGCGCCACUCUCGAAUUAGUAGAUCAUUCACGCUGAGCAGGUCUUCAACAACCUAAUGUGAUGCGUGUUACAAGUGUGUUAAGGUUGGUCCGUGGUUGCCCCGUUCCAAUUUAUGAUUCUGGUGGUGCCUUCUACAACAAUGCCAUGUCCUCUUCUAUAUUGUUGGGAUCAUAGAACAGCGGUAGAUACUGAUAGCAGGGAUUGAUGAAGCAUGAAAAAGAGAGAGAUUUUAACAAUGAAGCAUUGCCAGCUGCAUGCUUGGCCAGUAGCUCGGCAUUAACAGAAAACACAUGCCAAGUAUGAAGAAACUGAUCUGUUGCCAAAGAACCAAGAAACUGAUUCCCAUGCCUGGUGGAUUUUCUCUCCAUAUCGAUAAGACUCGGACGAGCUCACGAUAGGAGAAAGCAAUAGGAAUCACAUUGUUGCAGGGCACCGACACAACCAAGGAGUCGUGGGUCCUUCGCGAGACACGGCGGAUCUGGCUGCUGUGACAUGGAAGUUGUAGAUCUAGGAAAGGCACAUAGCCACCUUUGCUAGGAGCAGUAGGGUUGGUGGAUGAAAGAUCAGGGCAAUGGCCAAGGAGCAUAGAGGUGGAGGGGCUAAGCCAGAGCAGAUGGAGCAAAGUGUCGUGUCAGAUCCAGGCGAAGGUUAGGGAUGGGGAGGUUGAUGGAAAAGAGGAGAGUAGAGCCGCGAUCGCCUGAUUCUCGCAGCCGACCAUCAUCGCCGUCGACGACGACCAUUGAUGGCGGCGAUAGAGCAGUAGCAGACAAGUGUUCUUGGCCACCAGGGCUUGGGGCGUCUCGAUGUCGCCCCUUGGAGAGACAAGGGAGUGGGAAUCUACCUCUUUUUAUGGAGGCACAACUGCCCUGGAGGAGGAAGGAGCAUGAGAUAGAAUCAUGUUGUAAGUAUGAAUGGAUAUUACAUGACAUCAUGUUCAACAAACAUUUGUCAAUUCAAGAAAUUAUUUUAUCGUUA
Molecule: long non-coding RNA, 1735 nt
Organism: Triticum aestivum (bread wheat)
Lineage: Eukaryota; Viridiplantae; Streptophyta; Magnoliopsida; Poales; Poaceae
Exons: 5
Source: RefSeq, a predicted model, not a curated record